UCUCUCACGCUGUUCUGUGUCUCUAG
Molecule: non-coding RNA, 26 nt
Filed under: Cricetulus griseus (Chinese hamster)
Lineage: Eukaryota; Metazoa; Chordata; Mammalia; Rodentia; Cricetidae
Source: RNAcentral